GCCCUCUAAAUCAACCUCCUUGCAAUCUUCUAUUGUUAAUCUUUUGAGGCUGGUGAGAUGUUGCAGGCAUUCAUCUAGCGUGUGAGUGUCCAACCCCUCAAUCUUGUGUACAUCGAAAGAUUUCAAUUUGGAGAGUGGAAGAGAAGAGGUUGAAGUUAAUGGGGCCUUAGCAUUGAUGUUCAUCUUGAUAGUCUGCUUUAACGGCCUUGAACUGGUAUUCGACAACAUUAGAUCUUCAUCGAGUGAUGGAUACAGCGGCAUUGAUGUCAAAGGGCAAUUUUCAAUUGUUAAAGAGGAAAGACAAGGAAAUCCCAUGGUUGAUGUUCCCAUAACUGUUGUGUCGUCCUCGUUGGAAUCAUCAUCGAUUGGUUUUGUCGUCCUCCACCAACUCAUCAUAUUCGGACAGUACCGGAGCGAAAGAUGCUUAAGUGAUGGGAAGAAUGAUUGUGGUUCUCCUUGACUUCCUUUUGGGCUAUUAUCAUCCAUGUACUCCAGCUCAGUUAAAUUAGAAAUCACCAGCCCUUUAAGACAAGGAAAUUGCACAAAGGACGGGAUUUGUUUGAAAUUACCCUGAUGUAUUGUCAUAUAAACGAGAUUUGUUAGAAAAGAAAGCCAACUUGGAAACUUGGCAUCACUCCUCCAUCCUCGAAUACAGAGCUCCUUGAGAUUAGGAUGGGGUUGGAGGUCUUCAAGUGAUUUAUCAUCAUCAUAUUCAUCAUCGUUAAAAUCAAAAUAAAAUUUCCAUUCUAAAAGCAACGAUCUCAAAUGUUGCUUCUCUUUCAAAUUAGCAGCCUUAAACUUCUCUUUUGCAUUUUUUACGAAUCCCAAAUUUCUUAUUUCUAGCUCUCCCCUUAAAUUGUUAAGCAGUCUCAAUUCACUUAGAUCUGCACCGCCAUGGGACCCAUCUUUAUCCACUACAAACAUGCUUAACGUCUCAAGUGAAGUCAGCUUCCCUAUUCCACGUGGCAUAUGAGUUAAACUCAAACAGCCUUCACACCCAAUAUGGGUAAGAUUCACCAAUUUUUCAAUCUUCUUUGGCAAUUCUUGAAGCCCAUCACACCAGUCAAGUUUCAGCGCUAGCAAAUUCUGAAUCUUGCAAAUACUCUUUGGGAGAAUCUUAAUAUUGAAAUUCCAAGAAAGAUCAAGGUACCUCAAAUGUUUCAACUUACAAAUGGAGGGUGAAAUCUUUCGAAUACCCAUAGAAUCCAAUUUCAAUACACGCAAGCAUCCACAAUUUGCAAUUAUCAAAUCCCAAGUUUCAUCACUCAAUUUUUGAUCGUUGUUGUCUUGAAAAUGUAACAAGGUUCGCAACUUCUUGCCCUUAAACAAAGGAAUUAAUGAAGGAAUUAAUAAAGGAUUAAUUGAUAUGUGGCGACAUUUUUCACCAACAUCACUUGCAAUUUUAUUUGAAUCUACAAUACUACUCUCCAUCCCUGCUACUGAUUCAGCUAGAUCAUGCAUUAAAUCAUGCAUUUUAUAUGUUAGCCCUUCCCAUGGAUAUCUUUCUCCUACUUCUUGGAAGAAACUUCUUUCAACUAAAUCUUUAAAAUACCCAAACCCGAUCUCCUCGAGAGAUUGACUUUGAUUCAAUUGCUUUAUGAAACCCUGUGCAAUCCAUAAUUGAACAAGCGCUUGUACUCUAAUUCUGUAAUCUUUUGGAUACAAUCGGCAAUAAGCAAAGCAAUGCUUCAAAUGAAACGGGAGAUGAUCAUAACUCAAUUUCAGUGUAGGUAGAAUUUCUCCUUCAAUUUGUGAUAUUUUAGCAAGUUCAUUUUCUUUGAAAGAAUGCCACUCAUUUGCAGUUUUCUUCAAAGAUAAUGUACCAGCUAUCGUCCUUAUGGCUAAGGGAACCCCACCACACCUGCCCGAAAUCUGUCUCCCUACUUCCACAAAGGCUGAAUUUGUUGAGUCUGCAUAUCCUUGCUCAAAUGCUAUCCUUUUGAACAAAGACCAAGCAUCAUCAUCAGACAGGCCUUUCAAUUUCAAAACAUGGGAUUGACAUUUAUUAGUUAUCUCCGCUACCCUUAGAGAUCGAGUAGUUACUAUUAUCCUACUCCCUUUAGCCCCACCCAUCAAUAACUUCUUUAGCCUAGACCACCUUUCUGGGUCCUCAUUCCAAAUGUCAUCCAAAACAAGCAAAUAUUUUUUCCCAUCAAUUUUAUCUCGAAGUUGUGUUUGCAAUUGAUCCAUUUCAAGAUUUUGAUCAGGUGCUUGAUUAGUCACAGAUUUGAUAAUGUUUGCUACAAUAACUUUCACAUCAAAAUCAUCUGAAACACACGCAAACAUCGUCAAGUCAAAAUGAUUUUUGACCAUUUCAUGGUUAUAGACAAGUUGGGCCAAAGCAGUCUUCCCUAACCCUCCAAACCCCACAAUUGGAAUGAUAUAAACAUUCUCUUCACUUUGAAACUCCAACACGAGUUUUAGAAGAGCUGCUUUAUCAUCAUCCCUCCCUAUUAUGUCAUCGUCACGCUCAAAAGAGUGCGUUUGCUGCCUCCUUUUAGUCAUGAAAGAGGUUUCCGCGGGGCGAUCACGCGGAAUGAAGCCAAAAGUGUUGGCCUCCCUUUCAAUUGAAGCUAAUCUCGCCUUAAUGGCCUUCAUUUUCCGACCCAUUUUGAGACCAUAAGCAAAUUGGUUUGAGGUUGAGAAGAAAAGGCGUACCUCUUUCGUCAGCUUGUUCCCACCCGAUAGAUCUUUCCGCAAAGCUUCAGUAGAGAAAUCAUCGAGCAAGUCGUCGGCAUCAUAAAGUACAUCUUUCAGCUCUUCAAGCCAAACUUUGACGAGAUUGUCGGUCACCGAUUUCUCUUCUGCGUCAAGAAGCACAGCUUUGACUUGACAGACAGUGCGUUUGAGGUCCUGGAUGUCAUGUUUUAGAUUCCACCACAGCCCAACUUGAGAGAGAGCACGAGAGCUCAACUUAAUAAUGAGCUCUGCGGCAAUAUCGAAAGCAAUUGCUUCGGCCAUUGUUGGUUCAAACUGAAAUCAAGGCAAGAAAUGUUUGAUUAGUGAAAGAGGAGGACUAAAAUGAGAAUGAUUCCAACAAGAUGAAACACAGAUGUGGAUCCAUCCACCCAGCAAGUAGUAUAAUAAAAUAAAAAGUAAUGUUGAUUGGUGGGAAAUGCUCCCUCCAUGUUAAAGUCAUGUUGAUUGGUGGGAAAUUGUCAAACUUCUCAAUGGAGACAAAGUUGGGAUGAUGACACUUGGGGCGGUCUGCACAAUGUGGAGCCUUACAAAUAAUUGAAAUUAAUGAAAAAGCUAUGAAAGAAAAGAGAAAAAGAUUGAGGCCCAAAAGUCACUACCUCAUUUUAAGUUGCAUCAUAAAUUAUAAUGUUAUAAAUAUCGCUAGAAUAAUCUAUCUCAAAAGACAAAUUAUAACAUUUAGAUAGAACCCAAUUAUAAAGAGAAUCGGCUAAUUUAUUACAACCACGUUUCACCCAUUUGACCUCAGCAGAAACAAAAGAAUCAAGCAUCUUGUGAGCUCUUUGAUGCAAUGAUCAAAGAUUAUAGUGUCCUCCUUGUGAAACUAAAGCAGUUGACAAAGCUAGCACAAUCUGUUUCAAAAAUGACAUUUUCGGCUUUAAGAAAUUGAGCAAGCCAAAAACCAUCGAUGAGGGCAUCUAAUUCUGCUUUAAUAGUGAUUUUUUAUUCUCAUUUUAUCGAUAUAUUUACAUUUGAAUUCAAAUACAUAUUCUACAAUUAACUUUAAUCUCACUAUUACAAUACUUAACCUCACUAAAUUAUUUGUUUAACAUGAUUAUGGUGAAUUUAUAGAAAGAACAAUUACGAAACAAAUGCAGAUGCACUUAUGUUUAAAGUGUUAUUAAUGGAAAUUUUAUUAUUUUGAAAAAUAAAAGUAUAACAACUUUUUUAGCAUUCCAAUUUUAUAAAAGAAUAAUUUUAGCUCUCUUUUUAUUUUCCUUCUCUUUUAGUCUUUGAACUUACAUUUUUUUGUCAAACCAUCCAAAAUGAGUGAAAAAGUUAACAUUUGUUAACUUUGUUGACAUGACAUAUAGGUGGAUUACCACUUGUAUGUCACGUUAGUAAUUAAUUAUUUUAAAAAAUAUAUUUAAAAAAUAUUUUCUUAUAAUUUUUUAAUUUUUAAAAUAUUUUUUAAAAUUUUUUAAAAUUUUAAAAAAUAAUUAAUUGCUUAUGUGGCAUAUACAUGGUAAUCCACGUAUAUGUUACAUUAGCAAAAUCAACAAGCAUUAAAUUUUCACUCAUUCUAGGGUGAUUUGACAAAAAUUACAAGUUUAAGAACUAAAAGAAAGAAAAAAUUAAAUGAAGAGUUGAAAUAACUUUUUCUAUAAAGUUGGAGACCAAAAGAAUCAUUAUGGCAAAAAAUAGUUGUUUUUCUUCUUUCUUUCUUUUUUUUUGGCAAUUUUUAGUGCUAAAAUUCAAGAUGGUGUGGAAUAGUUUCUAAUCUUAUUAUUGUUAUAUAUAUUUUCGAUCUCAUUGGAGUUAAUUUCAUUGUCAAUAUAAAGAGAGCUUAAAUAUAAUUUAUUCCACUUCUAUUAAACAUGUUAGCGCUCCUUUGUAUGAUCAUUUACCUCCCGUGAGUAGGGUCGAGUAAAAAAAAUAAAAUAAAAUAAUUGAAAAUCAAUCCAAAUCAAUGAAUUUAGACGGUUUAUGGAUACAAAUUAAAAAUUUACAAUUAUUCGAAACCGAACCAAAUUCAUUAUUAUCACAUUACUACGGUAUUCAAUCUCGCUAUAUCAACAACUAAUCUCACCACCAACGUUAUUUUUAAUUUCACUAGAAUUCAUCCAAUUAUACAUCCAAAGAAAACCAUAAACUUAUCUAAAUACAAAUAAAACUAUAAAAAACUUAUUUAGACAUAAACUUUAUUAUUUGACACAAUAAAAAUAUAAUUACUUGCUUGAUUUAUACAUUUGUCCAAUAGUAAUGUAACCCAUUCAAUUUGGUCAGAUUGAAGGUUAUUCUUUGAUAAAUUAUUAUUAUUAUUAUUAUUUGCUUUGGGCAAACUUAAUACAACUUGAUUUACUCUUUAUUAAUUAAAAGCAUUUUAUUUAUAUUUAAUUAUAAAAAUGUGUAAAUAUUAUUAAAAUAUUAUUUUUUAAUAUUAAAUGAAUAGUGAAAUAGGGUCAACUUAUAAGGGUUAAAGUGUUUAGGAAGUCCCUAUAUUAUAGACUGUAUCAAAUUAGUCUCUCGAUUAUUAAACAAAUCAAAUUUAUUCUUGUAUUAUUAAAAAAGAAUCAAAUUAUGUCAAAUUGUAACAAAAUUAGCAUUUACUGUAAUAAUUUUAACAUUAACAAAGUUAACAAUUUGCAAUAUAAUUUUUAUGCAAUAAAUGUUAACUUUGUUGUAAUUUGGUUUUAUUUGAUCCUUUUUUAAAAGUACAGAGACUAAAUUGACCAUUUAAUAAUAGAGAGACUAAUUUGAUGUAGUUCCUAGAAUAGAGGUACUUUCACCCUUAUAUAUGUAUUUGAAUCUUAUUUUGGAUGAAAUUGAACAAUUGAAAAAGAUAAGAGUUCAAAAAGGUAAAAAUAAAUUGUAAUUAUAUACAAAAUACUUCCCUCCACAUUUAUCCGAACAAAAGAUUCCCUCCCUUUUCCCUCGUUUUCUACUCUCUCUCUAACGUCUAAACUAAAACCCUCACUUUCUUUCUCUUCCUAUUCCCCCAAUUCCAAUUAUACCCCCACCUCCUUCCCCUAGAAAUCAUAAACCUCCAUGUCCGGAGGGGCUGGAGCCUCCGAUGGUCCCACGCUGCCGUAUCAACCUCCUCCCACGGCUUCAACUGCACCAGCUUCGACGGUUCCUUCGGUUGUUCCGCCGAUACGUCGUCACCUGGCCUUCGCUUCGACGAAGCCGCCGUUUGUUCAUCCCGAUGAUUAUCACAGAUUUUCAUCUAGUAAUAGUCGUGGAAUCGUCGCCGAUCAAGAAGUUGAAGCAAUUGUUGUGAGAUUUCUAGUGAGUUCAAAAAUUUAAUGUAAGAAAAGGCGUACCUCUUUCGUCAGCUUGUUCCCACCCGAUAGAUCUUUUCGCAAAGCUUCACUGGAGAAAUCAUCGAGCAAGUCAUCGGCAUCAUAAAGUACAUCUUUCAGCACUUCAAGCCAAACUUUGACGAGAUUGUCGGUCGUCGAGGUCAUGUUGGAGAUUCCACCACAGUCCAACUUGAGAGAGCGCACGAGAGCUCAACUUAGUAAUAAGCUCUAGGGCGAGGUCGAAAGCAAUUGCUUCGGCCAUUGCUGGUUCAAACAGAAAUCAGGCAAAGAAGCGUUUCGUUAUUGCAAGAGGAGUAAAAUAAGAAUGAUUAAACAUUGGCAAUUGAUUAUUUUUUUAAAAAAAAUUAAAAUAAUUUUUAAUAAUUUUUGUACUUUUUAAAAUUUUUAAUAAGUUGUAUACCAUAUUUGUAUCCUCAACGUUUGGUAACUGAAGGGAGCUAUGCUAAACAUUCAACCAAUCAUUAGGUACUGAAAUGUUUUCAUUAAAUGAUAGUCUUACAUAAUGUACACAAGAUUGCUUGAUAAUUAGUUGUGUUUCCAUGUGUUUGAUUAUUAUUUGAAACUCCGGAAGAGAAAAAUGUAUUUUUUUUCUAAGUUGACACACACAAAAAUAAAAAUAAAGGAGAAUAAAGAACAUAACCAAGAUGUUUACGCAGUUCAAAACUCAUCCUACAUUUGUGAGCUUUGUCUAGAGAUAAAAUCGCUAUAAACUUCACAGUACAAUGAAAUUAUUUAUGCCCAACCCUCCAAACAUGGUGCAACCUCACCUUUGUACAAUUAAGUAAACGCUCUUCCAACUUACAUUAGCUAUGCAAGAGAAAAUCGACACUCGUAAGGUGGCACUCAAAUAAUAGUUACUCACUAAGUGUUCCUUUAAGUCCACAAAUCAUCUAUAUAUACACACUCCAAGAUCAGCUGAUGUAGAAUGCAUACAGAUUGAGUCUUCAACAAAGAAAAAAAGAAAAAGAAAGAACAAAUGUGCAUAGAGAGGAGGAUUUCAUGGGAGCACAAUGCCAUGGACAGAUCAGCUGAUGAAGAAUGCAUGUCCUGCUUUUUGGCUCUUCCAUUGAACUCAUGCUGAAAAAGAAGCAGCUUAGUUACGAGGUUAUAUUAGAUCAUUUGAAAUUAUGAGAUUAUUAUGAUUUUAAAAAUGUAAAGCAAUUAAGUAAUUACCACCCAUUUGUCUGCAUCUAAAUUCUUAAAGUUGUCAAAUGCCUUUCAGAAAAAUACAUGCCAAUCGAAUAUGUGGGCAGAUAAACAAAUGAGGGUAGAAAGUAUGAUCUCUGCUUUUUGUAUUGCAUGCUAUGCUCUGCCGAAGGAUAGAGCCAAAAGCUAACAAAAAUGAAGGGUAAAAAAAAUAAAAAAUUCCAAGAUAAAACAUAAAAUUGUAUAUACAUAUGAUUAAGAUUUAAAUUUGGAAAAUGAAUAAAGCAGAGCAUGAAGUAGAAGCAUAUUGAAGGCUGGCAUGCAAGCAUUUUGGAAAAUGUCCAUUGGGUACCAAUAAAGAUUUUUUAGAAUUAAAGUAUUAGAAGGUAUGAAAUGAUAGAUAUGAACCACCAAAAUGCUUCACACUAAAUCUAAAUUAUUCAAUUUUGUUUUAUUGAAUCAAAUAGAAAAUAAAUGAGGGGUAUGAAUUACCUGUCAUUCCUUGUUGGUAUUUGGUAUAAGCUGCAAUUUCAAAUGUGUAUACACAUAUGGAUUUCAUCAGAUCAUUGGGAUGGUGAGAUUAAUAUAAUUUAAAAGCGUAAAGCAAUUAGCUAGAUUACCACUUUUUUUACUGCAUUUGAAUUCUUGAAAUUGCCAAAUUCGUUUCACUAAAAGUCUUCGAUGCUUACUGCACAAAAUAGCCAAAUAAAAUGAUAAAUGAAGAAAUUGCACCAAAAGCUUGUUCUAUUUUGGCAAAAGAGGCCGUAGUUGGAGAGUCAAUAUACCAACCUGUAGCGAUAUGAGCAAUCUUGUGCCAAUCGGCAUCAAUCCCCUUCCGACAUCUUUCCUCCAUCUGAGGAAUUCGUUUCAUAAAGAACUCUUCCAAACUGGUUCUCGUCCGGAAGCGAUGUUAAAUUAGGCAAAUCGGAGAGAAUAAGCCUUGGAAGAUGGCGACACUUUGGAAUCUUUGCCAGCGCUAGAGAGCGCAGGCUUGUAUGAUCUUGGAAUAUUUGGAAGUUAGGUGCAGAUAACUCCAGCUCCUUUCAGUUACUUAUUGAAAACUCUUCAAGGAAAGAGAGAUGUUGGAACACAGGAAAGAGUGACGUCAAUCCAUGGCAUUCAUGAAUUCCCAAUGUUUUCAAUCGAAAAAGAUGUUGAAGCCCAAGGAGGACAGACACCAGCUUUGGAAUAUUACCAAUCACCAACCAAGAGGUUCCCAUUGCAUGCCUUCUAAAUCAACCUCCUUGCAAUCUCCUAUUGUCAAUUUUUUGAGGCCGGUGAAAACAGAUUAAUGGAAACCAUUAGUUUUCAAAGGUGAAUAAAUAAGGACAAUUAAGAUUGGUGUGAACAAUUUUUACUAAUAUAUGACACAUGUCUAACUAUGAUUAGUUAAAUUUGAAAACAUUUUAAAGAAAUUAAUAUAUAUAAUAUAAAAAAUCUAUAAAAAUUUUCAAAAUUCAAUUAUUGUAAUAUGAAACUUCCAUAUCUAAAAACCCUAAAUUAAAUUAAACUAUUUCAAUUGAAUCGAACAAACCCUAAAUUAAAUUAAAUUAUUUCAAUUGAAUCGAACAAACAAAUUGGACCGAAAAUCAAUUAAUAUGAUUGGUUUGACCACCUAUCUAGUUUUGAAAACCUUGACCAGAACAACAUCAGUAUGUGAAUUUUAUUUUUUUUAAUGAAGUGAUAUUAUUGUGUGUAUAAUAUAAUUAUAUGAUACAUCAAAUAUAAAAAUCCAUUAAUUUAAUAUCUUAAAAGUGUGCAUUUUGUUUAAUCUAAUGUGUUAAAAAGAAGAAGAAGAAGAAGAAAUAAUCCUCUUAAAUUUUAUAAUCUCGUCGUGUUUUUAAUAUUUUAGAAUCAAGUUAAUAUGAUGAGUAUACAAGUAUUUACAAUUUAAUCCAUGUCAAAUGAGAACGGAAAUUUAAAACCUAAAUUGACAGCUACAAAAAUAAAAUGAUUUUAUUGAUAUAAUAUUAAUACUUUCAAAACUUAAUUAAAAUAUUUUAGAAUUUAUAAAUUAAUUUUAAAAAAUUAAUUAAUAAAUUGAGGAUAUUUAAUACAAAUAACUUCUUGUAUGAAUAUAAAUAAUUAUAACACAUUUAUUAUUAAAUGAAAAUAAUGUUUGGUUGGUUGGAAAUGGUCCCACCUUGUUUUACGUUUGGGGAACAAAGCGACGGCGUUUUGGUUGGAGAAGAAGGAAGUAACAUCGUUAAGUACAUCGUUUUGUUUAUCUUUGUUUGAAAUUUGUUUUCUCGUUUUCUAUUUGACGCGGUUAAUAUUCUUUUUUGGGUAAACUAUAUUAAAAGUCAUUCAACUUUUACCUAAUUAUGAAAAGUUACAAAAUAAUCAAUAAACUAUUUUUUUUCCUUUUUUUUCACCCAAUUAUCUUGGAUUUUUUGGUGUUUUCUAUUUUUUCAUUAGCCAACUGAUGAUAAAAAUGAUAAAAUUGAAUUGUUGGGAGACUAUUUUGUAACUUUUCAUAAUUGACUGACCGAAAAAGGAAAAAAAACUUAGUUGGAUGACUACUAAAGUAGGGUACCCUUUUUUAGGUUAAAAUAUGCGAUAUGUCCUUGUACUCACCAUAAAUUUGAAAUUUAGUCUCUAUACUUGUAUUUAUAGGAAUUUAAUUUUUUUACUUUUCAGAGUUCAAAUUUCAGGUCCAAUUGUUAAUACUGUUAAUUUUUUUUUGUUGGAUUUGUUAGUGUGACAGUUUGAUUUAAAAAAAAUUUACUUACUUGGUAGCCAUGUAACUAAGAAUAUGACAUUUUAAAGAACCUGAAUUUAAUAAAAUAAUUUUAACAGUGUUAAUAGUUGGACUUGAAUUUUAAAAUUUUAAAAAUAUAGGGACUAAAUUCUUAAAAAUAAAAAUAUACAAAUUAAAUUCUAAACUUACAAAAAAAAUAUAGGGUUUGGGGGAUUUUAAUUUUGUAACGAUCUAAAAAGUGCAAGUAUUGGAAAGUGAAUUAUCAAGUCUCCGUUUUGGUAAAACGGACUCGUAAAAUAAUUAUUAAAAAUAUUUAUAGAAUUAGUUAUAAGACCAAUUGGAUUUUAGUUAAGUGAAUUUAGUUGAAUUAAAGUUAAUUAUGUAUUAGGACUAAAUUGAAUUAAGUGUGAAAGUUAAUUAUAGAAAAGAGAAAGGUCAAAGGACUAAACUAAUAAUUAAACAAUAAAAAGUGACAAGUGUGUGGUAAUUAUAAAUACAUGUGUAAAAAGAUAAAUAUAUACAAUUGUAAUAUUUAUAUUGUAUAUUAAAUAGAUAUUUAUUAGAUAAAUAAUUAAAUUAUAAGAUAUUUAUGUGAUUAAUAAAUUAAUUUGUGACAAGUGUAGGGUAUAGAUUAAGUACAAGUGUAAAAAAAAAUGUAUACAUUUGUAAUAUAUGUAUUAGUUAUUAAUUAGAUAUUUAUUGUAAUUAUAUUAUUAUUAUAAUAUAAAGUAAAGAAAUAAAAGAAACAAGGAAAUAAAGAAAGAAAAAGAACAGAGAAGUAGAACGAAACAGAGAAAGGAAAGAGGGAAAAAGAAAGAAAGAAAAAGAAAAAGGAAAAUUUGGGUUGUCAAGGUUCAAAGUUAAUUUGGUAAGUCAAUUUAAUCCUUUUUCUCUUAGUUUUGAUGUUUUUGGAAUCCUAGAACAAAGUAUUAUUGGAUUUAUGUCAAAAUUUUGGAAGUUAUUAGAUUUCUGGACAUUGAUUAUGUUGAAUAAAUGAAUGAAUUAGGGGUUAAAUUAAUUUAAUUUCAAGUUAGAAGUUAGUAAAGAAUUUAAUUGUAAAAUAAAGUUUAAGUUUUGAUUAGUAGGGACUAAAUUGAAAGAAUCCCGAAAUUAGGGACUUAUGGUGAAAUUGAAGGGUUAAAAUGAGUUUAUAGUAAGAAUUGAGAAAGAAUAAGGAGUUAGAUUGAGAAAAUAAAAUUAGUAUUGAUAAGGGAUUAAAUUAGAAUUUAGGUAAAGUUUAGGUAUAAAUAGAAAUAUUUUGAUGAAUUUGUGUAUUAAUGAUUUUUAAUUGUUUAAUUACGUAGCUAAUGUCGUGCAAGAGUUAUUAACCAAGAAAGGAAAGGAGAAGGUGGACAAGGAGUGACUCGAGAGAAAUUUCGGUUAGUAUUACUAUAAUUCAAAUUUAAUUAUUAAUUGUUAAAAUUUAAAUUAAUAUACAUGAUAAGCAAAUUGAGGUAAGUAUCAUGAUUGAAUUGAAUUGAGGUAAGUAUCACUUGAUUUUAUUGCACCAAACUGGACAUAAAAGAUUUUCUUAAAAAAUUUAACUUGCAAUGAGAUUGUUUUUUCUCACUAUAACCUUAUAGAGGUGUUAUAUAAGUACAUAUCAUAUCAUAAUUAUAAAUUUAAUUAUUUAAUUGUUAUAAAAAUUAAAUAUAUUACAAAUUAAUAUUUAUAUAAUGAUAUAGUUGAAUACAUGUAAAUUUAUUAUCAUAAAUAUAUUUGUAAUUAUUAUUUAUAUAAAUAAUUUUAUUAUAUUUUAUUAUUUCAUUUAUAUAAAGUAUAGAAUUUUGAGUUUAUAAUAAUUUCAAAGAAAAAAUAUAAUUUUCAUAAUCAAAUUUUAUAUGAAUUAAAUCUAAAUAAGUAGAUAUGUCAUAAUAAAUAAAAAAAUUAAUAAAAAUAUAUUUAUUAAUAAUUUUAUUAUUUACCAUGUUUGCAAAUUUCGUAUAUGUUAUAUUAUUUAUGUUAAAUAUAAAUAAUUUAACAUCCGUAAUAAUCAAUUAAGGUGAAAACACCUUUCUGGUCCCUUACAAUUUUGAUCUCAAGCAAAUUGGUCCUUCUAAAAAAUUUAGAGCAAUUUUAUCAUUGUUAAUUUCGAAAUAUAGUAGCUAAGGAUAAUUAAUCACAACGUUAAUAUUUUUGUCAUCUGUACAUAUUUUUAUUGGUAUAAUAACAACUUUAGCCCUAAAAAUUUACACAUUCUGCCAAUUUAGUUCUAGUUUAACAAAAUCAAAUUGCAACAUUUACACAUUAUAUAAUUAAUCAAAUUGAUAGGGAUUAAAUUGCUCCAUUUUUUUAGAAGGGCCAAUUUGCAAAAUAUUGAAUUAAAGAGGGAUCGAAGAGGUGUUUUUAUCCAUUUUCAACCUCACCUCACUACUACAAUUGUUAUUGAAUCCAAAUAUAUAUCCAAAACUGGUUAUUAUCACAUCACUACGAUAUUCAAUCUAACUAUUCCAAUAACUAAUCUCACCCCAACGUUAUUUUUAAUUUUACUAGAAUUGAUCCAAUUAUACAUCCAAAGAAAACCAUAAACUUAUCUAAAUACAAAUAAAACUAUAAAAAAAAACUUAUUUAGACAUAAAUUGAAAAAUAAAUUUUAUUAUUUCACACAGUAAAAAUAUAAUUACUUGCUUGAUUUAACCCAUUCAAUUUGGUCAGAUUGAAGGUUAUUCUUUGAUAAGAUAUUAUUAUUAUUAUUUGCUUUGGGCAAACUUAAUACAACUUGAUUUACUCUUUAUUAAUUAAAAACAUUUUAUUUAUAUUUAAUUAUAAAAAUGUGUAAAUAUUAUUAAAACAUUAAUUUUUAAUAUUAAAUGAAUAGUGAAAUAGGGUCAACUUAUAAAGCUUAAAGUAUUUAGGAAGUCCCUAUAUUAUAGACUGUAUCAAAUUAGUCUCUUGAUUAUUAAAUAGAUCAAAUUUAUUCUUGCAUUAUUAAAAAAGAAUAAAAUUAUAUCAAAUUGUAACAGAAUUAACAUUAUCAGAGUUAACAAAUUUUAAUACAUUUUUAUGCAAUAAAUGUUUACUCUAUGGUAAUUUGGUUUUAUUUGAUCAUUUUUAAUAGUAUUGAGACUAAUUUGAUGUAGUCCCUAUACUACAGGUACUUUCACCCUUAUACAUGUAUCUGAAUCUUAUUGUGGAUGAAAUUGAAUAAUUGAAAAAGAUAAGAGUUCAAAAAGAUAAAAAUAAAUUGUAAUUAUGUACAAAAUACUUCCCUCCACAUUUAUCCGAACAAAAGAUUCCCUCCCUUUUCCCUCGUUUUCUACUCUCUCUCUAACGUCUAAACUAAAACCCUCACUUUCUCUCUCUUCCUAUUCCCCCAAUUCCAAUUAUACCCCCACCUCCUUCCCCUAGAAAUCAUAAACCUCCAUGUCCGGCGAUGGUCCCACGCUGCCGUAUCAACCUCCUCCUACGGCUUCCACAGCACCAGCUUCGACGGUUCCUCCGGUUGUUCCGCCGAUACGUCGUCACCUGGCCUUCGCUUCGACGAACCCGCCGUUUGUUCAUCCCGAUGAUUAUCACAGAUUUUCACCUAGUAAAAGUCGUGGAAUCGUCGCCGAUCAAGAAGUUGAAGCAAUUAUUGUGAGAUUUCCAGUGAGUUCAAAAAUUCUCUUUCGAAAAUGGUGGCUAUCAUGUAAUUAGUAGUAUAUUAUUUCAAUUUUGAUGAGAAUUGUACUCUCACUUAACGCUUAAUGUCGUUUGCUUAAUUUUUUUGUGUGAUCUUUUGAUCUGUUCAUAAAUAGAACUUUUCACGGUGGGUAAGUUUCUUAGGGGAUAAAUUAUCAGUAGCAUUAGUUGUUUCUGCAGUGAUAUUGUGAUGUCUGUAUUUUAAUACGUGAUCUAUUCCCGUUUUUUGAUGAUGUAUUUGAUGGUUAAAGUGCUCGUUUGCUGAACUAAGUUGAAAUAUAAUGAAUGCUUGCCUCAUCCAAUGUCCAAAACCUGAUGACUUAAACAUUUUGAUGCCUUAAUUUGAGAAAGCUAAGUUUUAGUACUAUCAAAUAUAAUUGCAAUUGAUAGUAUGUUAGUUUUACGUAAUAUAAAUGUUAUAGUAAGAGAGGAAGGUUAUGUUAUGCUACUCCAUUCUCGGUUUAAAGCCAAACAUUUAAUGCCGUGCUCUAUAUGAAGAAAGCUUGAUGGGUGUUAGUUCUUUUGAUGGAUGUUUGAAAAAUGAUUCAGUUGAUAUACAUAUUUCCCCCUUAUGUAUAAUAUGUCUGAUAGUUUGUCAGGCAAACUUAUGUUCGUAUAUUAUAUUCCUUUUUCAUUCUGUCUUCAAGUAGUGAAGCAUUUCUGAUGGUUCUUAUGACUAACAGUAAGUUUUCUUAUACAAGCUCUCCUACAUAUGCAUCUGUUAAACUUAUGCUCUUUUUUAUUUUAUUUUCUUCAAUUCAAUUGGUUGUUAAUGUAGAUAUAACCAUGCACAGAUACUAAGGGACCUUGUAAUUUUGCCUGCCAUUGGCACUACUUUGAAUUAUUGCUGAUUUUUCUCAGCAAUUAAAAAGGAAAAGCGCAGCAGACAAAAAUGAUGAGUCUAGCCAAUGGACAAAGCAGUCCAGGAGUUACCAGCAUAUCCAACAGUCCCUUCCAGACACCUGUAUCUGCUAAAGGAGGAAGGAUAAAUAAUAGAUCAAAGACCUCAAAAGCCAACAAAUCAAUCGGCACCAAUGUCCUUCCAUCAACUGAGGAACUCUUGCAAAUUAUUGAAGUUCUCAAAUGCCUUUCUCCAAUGGGUUACUGCACAAAUGCCUUUCCAUCAACCUGAUUACAACCAAAUGCGUGGGAUGUGAGCAAUUUUAUGCCAAUCAGCGCCAAUGUCCUUCCAACUGAGGAAUUUGUCGUAUAUGUAAAGAUUUCAAACUGGUCAUCUCAGAAGCGAUCUUAAAUUGGGCAAAUCAGAGAGAUAAAGAAAUUGCAACCCGCUCCGGAAGAUGCCGACACUUUGGAAUUUUUGCCGGUGAUAGAGAGCGUAGGUUACAAUGCCAUGGACAGAUCACAACACUUUCUUUAUAGUUUCAAAAAUUACUCGAGGCAGAAGGCAAUGGGAGCCAGAGCUCUCCAUACCCCUCCCCCUUUCCAAAUUUGGGAAAUUCGAAUUAAGCCUUCAAUUUUUUUGAAAAUUUUAAUUAAACUCCUCAAUUUUUUUAAAAUCUUCACUAAGCCCUUUAAUAGUCUUGUUAGUUUUAAUUAGACCCUUUUUUUUUUGAAAUUCUCAUUAGGUUCUUUAAAAUUUUUGAAAAAUUUAAUUCCACAUUUCGCUACCUUGUUGAAAAUUACAUUUUAAUUACAUUGUUGAAAAUUACUUGUAUUUUGAUAAGGAAAACAAUGGGAAAAAUAACAAUUAGAUGCUUGGAAUAUUGGCUUGUGCCAUGAUAGGCCUUUAUAAGGUGUUAUUCAACUUGUAAUUUGAUGUGUGCCAACAUAAUCAUCAACACACGUGUCAUGUAUAUACAACCAGGACAUCGACAUCUUUUGGAAGCAUCAUAAUUGAAAAAUGUGAAAUACCGUCUAAAACAAUUAUUGUCUCAUAAUCAAUUGUGCAUCCCUGCAUUUGAAUACUGUUUGGAACAUUUAAAAUGUGUUUUUUCCUGAGUUGGUACAUAUUAUGCAACAAGGAAAAUAAAGAACACAAUUAAGAUGUUUACGCAGUUCGGAACUUGUCCUACGUCUACGGGGCUUUGCCCAAAGAUGAAUCCACUAUGAACUUCAUAGUACAAAGAAAUGAUUUAAGCUUAACCCCUCAAACACUUGAUGCAAUCUCACUUUUGUACAAUUAAGUAAAUUCUCUCCCAACUCAUUUUAGCUAUGCAAGUGAAAAUUCACAUUCAACGCUCAGAUGGUUUUCCUACUAUGAAUCAAGCUCUUAAUAAGCUCCAUGUAAGGUGAAAUAAUAAAUUUUCAAAUGCAGUAUGUCUGGCAAUUGUCAUGCUUGAACAACGACUCUUCCAAAAGCAUCAAUGAACCUGAAAAUUAUAAAUGCCAACAUAGAAUAUGUUACAAAUCCCAUUAUUAUCAGCCUUAUAUUUGCACAUAUGUGUGUUUAGUAUAAUGCUGUUGAUAUAUAAGUAAUGAAACAUUUUAUCAACUUCAAUCUCACCACCAAAUAUUCUGAAAUAAAGAUAUGAUAAGUGCGUGCUUAAAUGAAGAAAGCAGAGCAUAUAGUACAACCAAUUUGAAGGCUUCAUAGGCCUCUCUCUCCACAUCAAUGAUUUUUUAGAAUUAAAUUAUUAGAAGCAAUUGUCAAGUUAUUCUUAUGAUUUAAAAGUAAAAAGCAAAUAGAUAAAUUAGCACCUCUUUUUAUGCAUAUAAAAUGAUUGAAGUUCACUAAUGCCUUUCUCCAAUGCCUUUCUGCACAAAUCAGCAAAAAUAUUAUGAAAGAUGAUAAGUAAAAAGUAGGAUGAAAACAAAGGGAUUUUAACAAGGAAAUUAACAGUAUCCAACUUCAACGAAAAAUGGCAUCAGACCCCUGACUUGGAGAUUCAAUAUACCACUCUUAUUUUUCUUCAAAAAAAAUAAGGUCAUCAAAAUAAAUAAAUAACAAAGACAGACCAACCUGUUACUACCAAAUGUGGGGGAUGUGAGCAAUCUUAUGCCAAUCAGCGCCAAUGUCCUUCCGACAUCUUUCCUCCAACUGAGGAAUUCCAUUUAUGUAUAAAAUUUGCAAUUUGGUUAGGCAACGCAUCUCGUCCGGAAGAGACGUUAAAUUGGGCAAAUUAACGAGAUAAAGCCCUUGCAGAUUUGUUAGAUGUUGAAGCCACUUCGGAAGAUGCCGACACUUUGGAAUAUGUUCCAGCCGUAGAGAGCGUAGGCUUGUAUGAUCUUGGAAUAUUUGGAUGCCAGCUCCAGAUAACUCCAGCUUCUUGCAGUCCUUUACUUCGAACUCUUCAAGGAAAGUGAGAUGUUGGAACACAGGAAGCAGUGACCUCAAUCCAUUGCAGUUAUGAAUUUUUAAUGUUUGCAAUUGAACAAGAUGUUGAAGCCAAAUGGAGAGAGACACCAGCUUUGGAAUAUUAUCAAUCUCCAAAUGAGAGAGAUUCUUAAGGGGUUCCCAUUGCAUGCCCUCUAAAUCAACCUCCUUGCAAUCUCCUAUUGUUAAUCUUUUGAGGCUGGUGAGAUGUUGCAGGCACUCAUCUAGCGUGUGAGUGUACAACCCCUCAAUGUUGUGUACAUCGAAAGAUUUCAAUUUGGAGAGUGGAAGAGAAGAGGUUGAAGUUGAUGGGGCCUUAGCAUUGAUGUUCAUCUUGAUAGUCUGCUUUAACGGCCUUGAACUGGUAUUCCUCAACUCUAGCUUAUCAUCGAGUGAUGGAUACAGUGGCAUCAAAGUCAAAGGGCAAUUUUGAAUUGUUAAAGAGG
RNAcentral lists this long non-coding RNA (17148 nucleotides) under Gossypium barbadense (sea-island cotton). Its description in RNAcentral is "long non-coding RNA (GBAR_LNC021356)". Lineage: Eukaryota; Viridiplantae; Streptophyta; Magnoliopsida; Malvales; Malvaceae. The record is from RNAcentral.